This is a small nuclear RNA of Marmota marmota marmota (Alpine marmot), 107 nucleotides long. Lineage: Eukaryota; Metazoa; Chordata; Mammalia; Rodentia; Sciuridae. The record is from Ensembl.
GUGCUCACUUUGGCAGCACAUAUACUAAAAUUGGACUGAUACAGAGAAGAUUAGCAUGGACCCUGCGCAAGAGUGACAUACAAAUUCGUGAAGCAUUACAUAUUAAA